Molecule: long non-coding RNA, 1332 nt
Filed under: Oryzias javanicus (javanese ricefish)
Lineage: Eukaryota; Metazoa; Chordata; Actinopteri; Beloniformes; Adrianichthyidae
Description: lncRNA (ENSOJAG00000022982.1)
Source: RNAcentral
CAAUGUUGAGCUGAAACAUAUUUUUACUUAAAUAACACUCAUGUAAUAUACUUAGUAAAAUAAUGUAAUAAUGUGUCCAGUAAAAACAUGUUUGGAUUUCUUUUAUCUAUUGGCCAACUUGACUAGUGAGUCAGAAACUAGAUUUUGUUCUCUGAGGUUGUGACUUCAAACCAUCAAACCACACACAGUAAAAUCAGUUUGAAGACUGCUGCUGCCUAAAGUUAACUGCUGAAUGAUUGUAGGAUUCUCUUCAUAGGAUGCUUAAGCUAGUGGUAGCUCACAGAACACCUGCUGCAUUGUUCUACAAACACUUUGUCUUUGAGACUAUUUCCAAAUGAAAUGUUCAAAUAAAAUAGUUGUUGUUAAAAAUGUUCUGUCAUUUGUAACCUUUGGUAAAGAACGUCCAUGGUCAUCUCUCUAAAUUUUGCAGGAUUAUCUUUUAAAUACCUUUAUGUCUCAUCACUCUACAAUAUUAUUAGCUUUCCUUCAUGCUCAUAAGAUAAGUGGAAGCUCAACAAACCCAGUGUUAGUGAACCUCUGAGUUUAUCUGUUUGAAGAGGGAGGCCUCUCUCUGCACCUUAUUUCUACUAAUGUGUCUUUUCUCAUUUGUUUUGUUGGGUAUGAAACCAUUGAGGGUUGCACGGUGUGUGCAGUGGUUAGCCCAAACAUCGAAAAGGCCCUGGUUCAAAUCCCAGCGGGGACCUCACUGUGUGGAGUUGUAUGUUCUUCCUUUACAUUGGUCCAGACUACAGAUCCAGUUGUUCUGAGUCGCUGAACCAGGACUCCCCCACAAGCCGUGACCAGUCCAAGGAAGCUGCUGUGUGGGAACAAGAAGAAGUGACCAGUGAGGAGAGCGAUGCUCAGCUGGUGCAGUCGGACGAGGAGGACGUUCAACCGGACACGUCACUCAUUGGUCUGAGAGACGUCUGUGCAGCCGGAGGCUCUGAGGACAGCGACUCAGCUGAGGCCUCACCCCCCCACAGUCAACACUGACCUGCUGGACAGCAGCUCUGUGUUGAGCCUGUCCUUCAUUAUGUCCACUGACUGACUGGAACGCUGGACAUUAAAGAUCAAAGUAAAUAAACAUCUGUCAUUUGCUUGUAAACCAAUUACUCCCAACUGUAAUAAAUUGCAGAUUACUUGUUGCUCUUAUUCCAAAGUAAUCCCUUUCCUUACAAUAUAUUACUAUCUAAGAAUUACAGCACAUCACAUGACUCCUGUGUAAUCCAUCCAUCCAUUAAUCCAGUCCACUCCACCCACCGAGAGAGAACAAACUACCUUUCUCCGGUCCAGAACCAUGGCCUCAGAUUUAGCGGUGCUGACUCUCAUCCC